GCAAACUUGGUCAUUUAGAGGAAGUAAAAGUCGUAACAAGGUUUCCGUAGGUGAACCUGCGGAAGGAUCAUUAAAAAAAAAAAAUGAAGUUGAGGUUUGAAUUUGAACCUCAAACUAUCUGAACUUGUGGUAUUAAUGAAAUUUGAAUUGGGCUUAAAAAUGGUGUUUUCGUAAGAGAAUAUCGGCUCAAACAACUUUUAUAUAAACUCCCUUUUAUUAUUUGACUGAAUUAUAAAAUAAAAUAAUCCAAAUUAUGGAUUAAAAAAGUUUUAAAUAACUUUCAACAACGGAUCUCUUGGUUCUCGCAUCGAUGAAGAACGCAGC
This 324-nucleotide unclassified non-coding RNA is filed under the name uncultured fungus. RNAcentral's name for it is "partial contains small subunit ribosomal RNA, internal transcribed spacer 1, and 5.8S ribosomal RNA". The stretch from base 1 to 73 matches the Rfam family "Eukaryotic small subunit ribosomal RNA", at positions 1759 to 1831 of the family's 1831-position model. The record is from RNAcentral. Lineage: Eukaryota; Fungi.